CCGUGCGCCGCAACCCCCACCGAUAUCCCUACCGAUCUAGGGUUAGCGCACAAGCGACGGGAAGCUCCACCACAGCCACUGCCUCCUCGCCGACGACGCCCACUCGCCAACAUGGCCGGCACGGCGGCCUCCUGGAGCCAAGGAGAAGACUAAAAGUUUUCCAUGCCUUCAUUCGUGAAAGCGAAUGGCCGGGUACUUGUGACCCGAAAGAUGACCAAGGUCAUAACGUAAGGGAGUAUUGUUGAGAAUCUUGGUUGACGAAUGUCUUUCAUAUACUCUCUAUGAAGAAGAUUUUUCAGUCAACACAUUUUGAGUUGAAACAAGCAACAUGUGUGUUUAAUUUGACCAAUGUCGGAUCAAUCAUGUGUGUCAAAGAGCAUUCAGAUUUAUUCCUAAAUUUGAUGAUUGAAUAUGCAGUCAAAAGAGCCAAUUCUGGCAUUUA
This is a long non-coding RNA of Triticum aestivum (bread wheat), 442 nucleotides long. RefSeq lists it as uncharacterized. Lineage: Eukaryota; Viridiplantae; Streptophyta; Magnoliopsida; Poales; Poaceae. The record is from RefSeq and is a predicted model, not a curated record. The transcript is spliced from 2 exons.